RNAcentral lists this ribosomal RNA (462 nucleotides) under Lachnospiraceae bacterium canine oral taxon 073. Its description in RNAcentral is "bacterial SSU rRNA". It matches the Rfam family "Bacterial small subunit ribosomal RNA", at positions 9 to 456 of the family's 1533-position model. The record is from RNAcentral. Lineage: Bacteria; Bacillati; Bacillota; Clostridia; Lachnospirales; Lachnospiraceae.
GAGUUUGAUUAUGGCUCAGGAUGAACGCUGGCGGCAUGCCUAACACAUGCAAGUUGAACGAGAAGUUCUGGAGGGAGUCUUCGGACGAACGAAGGAAUGGAAAGUAGCGAACGGGUGAGUAACGCGUGGGCAACCAACCUUACACAGGGGGAUAACGCAGAGAAACUGCGCUAAUACCGCAUAAGCGCACAGUACGCAUGGUACGGUGUGAAAAACUCCGGUGGUGUAAGACGGGCCCGCGUCUGAUUAGUUAGUUGGUGAGGUAAAAGCUCACCAAGGCGACGAUCAGUAGCCGACCUGAGAGGGUGAUCGGCCACAUUGGGACUGAGACACGGCCCAAACUCCUACGGGAGGCAGCAGUGGGGGAUAUUGCACAAUGGAGGAAACUCUGAUGCAGCAAUGCCGCGUGAAGGAAGACGGUUUUCGGAUUGUAAACUUCUAUCAGCAGGGAAGAAAAUGACG